RNAcentral lists this ribosomal RNA (600 nucleotides) under uncultured Actinomycetes bacterium. RNAcentral describes it as "bacterial SSU rRNA". It matches the Rfam family "Bacterial small subunit ribosomal RNA", at positions 252 to 866 of the family's 1533-position model. Lineage: Bacteria; Bacillati; Actinomycetota; Actinomycetes. The record is from RNAcentral.
GUGAGGUAACGGCUCACCAAGGCAUCGACGGGUAGCUGGUCUGAGAGGAUGAUCAGCCACACUGGAACUGAGACACGGUCCAGACUCCUACGGGAGGCAGCAGUGGGGAAUAUUGCACAAUGGGCGCAAGCCUGAUGCAGCGAUGCCGCGUGCGGGAAGAAGGCCCUAGGGUUGUAAACCGCUUUCAGCAGGGAAGAAAAUGACGGUACCUGCAGAAGAAGGUGCGGCCAACUACGUGCCAGCAGCCGCGGUGACACGUAGGCACCAAGCGUUGUCCGGAUUUAUUGGGCGUAAAGAGCUCGUAGGCGGUUCAGUAAGUCGGGUGUGAAAACUCUGGGCUCAACCCAGAGACGCCACCCGAUACUGCUGUGACUUGAGUACGGUAGGGGAGCGGGGAAUUCCUGGUGUAGCGGUGAAAUGCGCAGAUAUCAGGAGGAACACCAGUGGCGAAGGCGCCGCUCUGGGCCGUAACUGACGCUGAGGAGCGAAAGCAUGGGUAGCAAACAGGAUUAGAUACCCUGGUAGUCCAUGCCGUAAACGUUGGGCACUAGGUGUGGGUCUCAACCAACGAGAUCCGCGCCGUCGCUAACGCAUUAAGUG